CCUACGGGGAGCUGCAGUAGGGAAUCUUCCACAAUGGGCGAAAGCCUGAUGGAGCAACGCCGCGUGGGUGAAGAAGGUCUUCGGAUCGUAAAACCCUGUUGUUAGAGAAGAAAGUGCGUGAGAGUAACUGUUAACGUUUCGACGGUAUCUAACCAGAAAGCCACGGCUAACUACGUGCCAGCAGCCGCGGUAAUACGUAGGUGGCAAGCGUUAUCCGGAUUUAUUGGGCGUAAAGGGAACGCAGGCGGUCUUUUAAGUCUGAUGUGAAAGCCUUCGGCUUAACCGGAGUAGUGCAUUGGAAACGGGGAGACUUGAGUGCAGAAGAGGAGAGUAGAACUCCAUGUGUAGCGGUGAAAUGCGUAGAUAUAUGGAAGAACACCAGUGGCGAAAGCGGCUCUCUGGUCUGUAACUGACGCUGAGGUUCGAAAGCGUGGGUAGCAAACAGGAUUAGAUACCCCGGUAGUC
Molecule: ribosomal RNA, 465 nt
Filed under: uncultured bacterium
Lineage: Bacteria
Description: partial 16S ribosomal RNA
Rfam family: Bacterial small subunit ribosomal RNA
Source: RNAcentral